GACGUAGGGCGCGAGCGUUGUCCGGAUUUAUUGGGCGUAAAGAGCUCGUAGGCGGUUUGUCGCGUCUGCUGUGAAAACCUAAGGCUCAACCUUGGGCUUGCAGUGGGUACGGGCAGACUAGAGUGCGGUAGGGGUGACUGGAAUUCCUGGUGUAGCGGUGGAAUGCGCAGAUAUCAGGAGGAACACCGAUGGCGAAGGCAGGUCACUGGGCCGCAACUGACGCUGGAGGAGCGGAAAGCAUGGGGAGCGAAACAGG
This 256-nucleotide ribosomal RNA is filed under the name uncultured bacterium. Its description in RNAcentral is "partial 16S ribosomal RNA". It matches the Rfam family "Bacterial small subunit ribosomal RNA", at positions 524 to 776 of the family's 1533-position model. The record is from RNAcentral.